CGAUGAAGGCCUUCGGGUCGUAAAGCUCUGUUGUCAGGGAAGAACAAGUACAAGAGUAACUGCUUGUACCUUGACGGUACCUGACCAGAAAGCCCCGGCUAACUACGUGCCAGCAGCCGCGGUAAUACGUAGGGGGCAAGCGUUGUCCGGAAUUAUUGGGCGUAAAGGGCGCGUAGGCGGUUUCUUAAGUCUGAUGUGAAAGCCCACAGCUUAACUGUGGAGGGUCAUUGGAAACUGGGGAACUUGAGUGCAGAAGAGGAGAGUGGAAUUCCACGUGUAGCGGUGAAAUGCGUAGAUAUGUGGAGGAACACCAGUGGCGAAGGCGACUCUCUGGUCUGUAACUGACGCUGAGGCGCGAAAACGUGNGGAGCGAACAGGAUUAGAUACCCUGGUAGUCCACGCCGUANACGAUGAGUGCUAGGUGUUANGGGGUUUCCGCCCCUUAGUGCUGAAGUUAACGCAUUAAGCACUCCGCCUGGGGAGUACGGCCCGCAGGCUGAAACUCAAAAGAAUUGACNGGGGCCCGNNCACAGCGUGGAGCAUGUGGUUNAAUUCGAAAGCACGCGAGAACCUACCCAGGUCUGACAUCCGCUGAACACUUUGAGACNNAGCGUCCUUCGGGGACGCGUGACAGUGGUGCAUGGUGUCGUCACUCUGUCNUGAGAUGUUGGGUUA
This 675-nucleotide ribosomal RNA is filed under the name uncultured bacterium. Its description in RNAcentral is "bacterial SSU rRNA". It matches the Rfam family "Bacterial small subunit ribosomal RNA", at positions 406 to 1082 of the family's 1533-position model. The record is from RNAcentral.